RNAcentral lists this ribosomal RNA (353 nucleotides) under uncultured prokaryote. Its description in RNAcentral is "bacterial SSU rRNA". It matches the Rfam family "Bacterial small subunit ribosomal RNA", at positions 355 to 774 of the family's 1533-position model. The record is from RNAcentral.
UGGGGAAUUUUGGACAAUGGGCGCAAGCCUGAUCCGCGGGGACGAUGAUGACGGUACCCGCAGAAGAAGCCCCGGCUAACUUCGUGCCAGCAGCCGCGGUAAUACGAAGGGGGCUAGCGUUGCUCGGAAUGACUGGGCGUAAAGGGCGCGUAGGCGGAUUAGUUUGUCGGGUGUGAAAUUCCUGGGCUUAACCUGGGGUGUGCAUUCGAGACGGCUGGUCUAGAGUUUGGCAGAGGGUCGUGGAAUUCCCAGUGUAGAGGUGAAAUUCGUAGAUAUUGGGAAGAACACCGGUGGCGAAGGCGGCGACCUGGUCCAUGACUGACGCUGAUGCGCGAAAGCGUGGGGAGCAAACA